AUUGAACGCUGGCGGCAUGCCUUACACAUGCAAGUCGAACGGCAUCGCGGGAAAGCUUGCUUUCCUGGCGGCGAGUGGCGAACGGGUGAGUAACACAUCGGAACGUACCGGCUAGUGGGGGAUAACCCGUCGAAAGACGGGCUAAUACCGCAUACGUUCUUCGGUGGAAAGCAGGGGACCUUUGGGCCUUGCGCUAGCCGAGAGGCCGAUGUCCGAUUAGCUAGUUGGGGGGGUAAAGGCCUACCAAGGCGACGAUCGGUAGCGGGUCUGAGGGGACGAUCCGCCACACUGUGACUGAGACACAGCCCAGACUCCUACGGGAGGCAGCAGUGGGGAAUCUUGGACAAUGGAGGCAACCCUGAUCCAGCAAUGCCGCGUGGGUGAAGAAGGCCUUCGGGUUGUAAAGCCCUUUCGGCAGGGAAGAAAUCGGCGGGGCGAAUAACCCUGCUGGAUGACGGUACCUGCAGAAGAAGCACCGGCUAACUACGUG
Molecule: ribosomal RNA, 490 nt
Filed under: uncultured bacterium
Lineage: Bacteria
Description: partial 16S ribosomal RNA
Rfam family: Bacterial small subunit ribosomal RNA
Source: RNAcentral